AGUGAACGCUGGCGGUAUGCCUAACACAUGCAAGUCGAACGGCAGCACAGUAAGAGCUUGCUCUUACGGGUGGCGAGUGGCGGACGGGUGAGGAAUACAUCGGAAUCUACUUUUUCGUGGGGGAUAACGUAGGGAAACUUACGCUAAUACCGCAUACGACCUACGGGUGAAAGCAGGGGAUCUUCGGACCUUGCGCGAUUGAAUGAGCCGAUGUCGGAUUAGCUAGUUGGCGGGGUAAAGGCCCACCAAGGCGACGAGCCGUAGCUGGUCUGAGGGGAUGAUCAGCCACGCUGGACCUGAGACACGGUCCAGACUCCUACGGGAGGCAGCAGUGGGGAAGAUUGGACAAUGGGCGCAAGCCUGAGCCAGCCAUACCGCGUGGGUGAAGAAGGCCUUCGGGUUGUAAAGCCCUUUUGUUGGGAAAGAAAAGCAGCAGGUUAAUACCCCGCUGUUCUGACGGUACCCAAAGAAUAAGCACCGGCUAACUUCGU
Molecule: ribosomal RNA, 491 nt
Filed under: uncultured bacterium
Lineage: Bacteria
Description: partial 16S ribosomal RNA
Rfam family: Bacterial small subunit ribosomal RNA
Source: RNAcentral